This 434-nucleotide ribosomal RNA is filed under the name uncultured bacterium. Its description in RNAcentral is "partial 16S ribosomal RNA". It matches the Rfam family "Bacterial small subunit ribosomal RNA", at positions 29 to 507 of the family's 1533-position model. The record is from RNAcentral.
AGCGAACGCUGGCGGCAGGCUUAACACAUGCAAGUCGAACGGGCAUCUUCGGAUGUCAGUGGCAGACGGGUGAGUAACACGUGGGAACGUACCCUUCGGUUCGGAAUAACUCAGGGAAACUUGAGCUAAUACCGGAUACGCCCUUUUGGGGAAAGGUUUACUGCCGAAGGAUCGGCCCGCGUCUGAUUAGCUUGUUGGUGGGGUAACGGCCUACCAAGGCGACGAUCAGUAGCUGGUCUGAGAGGAUGAUCAGCCACACUGGGACUGUGACACGGCCCAGACUCCACCGGGAGCCGGCGUUGGGAAUAUUGGACAAUGGGCGCAAGCCUGAUCCAGCCAUGCCGCGUGAGUGAUGAAGGCCUUAGGGUUGUAAAGCUCUUUUGUCCGGGACGAUAAUGACGGUACCGGAAGAAUAAGCCCCGGCUAACUUCGUG